Molecule: ribosomal RNA, 274 nt
Filed under: uncultured bacterium
Lineage: Bacteria
Description: partial 16S ribosomal RNA
Rfam family: Bacterial small subunit ribosomal RNA
Source: RNAcentral
AUACGGAGGGUGCAAGCGUUACUCGGAAUCACUGGGCGUAAAGCGCGCGCAGGCGGUCUUUUAAGUUGGAUGUGAAAGCCUACGGCUCAACCGUAGAACUGCAUCCAAAACUAUUAGACUAGAGUGUGGGAGAGGAAGAUGGAAUUAGUUGUGUAGGGGUAAAAUCCGUAGAGAUAACUAGGAAUACCAAAAGCGAAGGCGAUCUUCUGGAACAGUUCUGACGCUGAGGCGCGAAAGCGUGGGGAGCAAACAGGAUUAGAAACCCCAGUAGUCC